CCUGCAACUCGGCUGCAUGAAGCUGGAAUCGCUAGUAAUCGCGGAUCAGAAUGCCGCGGUGAAUACGUUCCCGGGUCUUGUACACACCGCCGUCACACCAUGGGAGUAGGUAAUGCCCGAAGUCGGUGACCUAACCGGAAGGAAGGAGCCGCCGAAGGCAGGACUUAUAACUGGGGUGAAGUCGUAACAAGGUACC
RNAcentral lists this ribosomal RNA (196 nucleotides) under uncultured bacterium. RNAcentral's name for it is "partial 16S ribosomal RNA". It matches the Rfam family "Bacterial small subunit ribosomal RNA", at positions 1304 to 1500 of the family's 1533-position model. The record is from RNAcentral.